UUUUUAAGGAGCCACACGUGCCCCCACCUAACACCCUUCCCCACCACUCAUUUUCACUCAUCUCCUUAUCCCUUUGACCGGCUCCUCACUUCUCUUUUCUUUUCUCUUCAUUUUCCUAACAAACGCUCCUCUUCCACACUCCCUUAUUCUCCUGCCAGUACCACUCCUCACCACUUCCACCACCAUUUUUCAGGCAAGACCACUGGAAAAUUCCAUAGGAAAAGAGUUCUAGCUAAUUUCAUUGGAGCUUGGAAAAUUAGGGUUUUACGGAUUGCGAGAGUAGGCAACUAUCGUUUUGAGACAGCUUUUUGGUGGCUAGUAAUAGUUAGACUAAUUGCUGAUGAAGGCUAGCUUUUGUGAUGGAGAUAUUAGAUGAUGUACAUCAUAGUGUAGACUUGACUCAUUCUUUUGUAUGUUAUAGUGGUUAUGACUUUAUUUCCACUAUUGGGACAAGUUAUUAAUAUGUAAUUGUAUUUAUUCAAGCCUCCAUUCUUUUGUGGCCA
Quercus lobata is the source of this 503-nucleotide long non-coding RNA. RefSeq lists it as uncharacterized. The record is from RefSeq and is a predicted model, not a curated record. The transcript is spliced from 3 exons. NCBI's taxonomy places the organism in Eukaryota, Viridiplantae, Streptophyta, Magnoliopsida, Fagales, Fagaceae.